ACGGCGUAAUGACUUCCCCGCUGUCUCCAACAUAGACUCAGUGAAAUUGAAUUCCCCGUGAAGAUGCGGGGUUCCUGCGGUCAGACGGAAAGACCCCG
This 98-nucleotide ribosomal RNA is filed under the name Ctenophora environmental sample. Its description in RNAcentral is "partial Bacterial large subunit ribosomal RNA". It matches the Rfam family "Bacterial large subunit ribosomal RNA", at positions 1996 to 2093 of the family's 2925-position model. The record is from RNAcentral. Lineage: Eukaryota; Metazoa; Ctenophora.